Small nucleolar RNA from Protobothrops mucrosquamatus (brown spotted pit viper), 87 nucleotides. The record is from RefSeq and is a predicted model, not a curated record. Lineage: Eukaryota; Metazoa; Chordata; Lepidosauria; Squamata; Viperidae.
UCUCUAUGAUGUUUCCAAUGGAUCCUACUGAACCCCUGGCCGUGCAAUCAGUCAAAGGGCAUUUGACGAGAUUCUUUGGCUGAGAGA